Branchiostoma floridae (Florida lancelet) is the source of this 1214-nucleotide long non-coding RNA. RefSeq lists it as uncharacterized. The record is from RefSeq and is a predicted model, not a curated record. The transcript has 4 exons. Lineage: Eukaryota; Metazoa; Chordata; Leptocardii; Amphioxiformes; Branchiostomatidae.
GCUGGCUGCCCCCUAAUUUCAAGUGGUCAGUCCCUAAAUUGACGUCAGAAACCAGGGUGGCGGCAUUUUUGAGAGCUGCGAUACCAUAACAUUCGAUGGUCGGAAUUGUUUUAAAUCAGACAUUUUGGACACUUGAGAUAGCUGUGUACUGUGUGGGCGACGGUUCAACUGAAAGAUGCACAUACCCAAGCAUGAGAGGCCAAGCAUGAGGGGGCAGGCCUAGUGACGUGAGUGGUGGCAAUUUAAAGGAGAGGUACCAAGUGACUUUCUGUUCGGGAGAUUUGUGUCCAAAAAAUUGCAGAAGCUGAAGGGGCUCAUCAAGAAGGGAAACUUCAUCGCAAAUGUAAGAGAACCUUGAUGUCACAGGAUGGAAACCUUGAUGUCACAGCAGAAAAGGGAUUUCAAGGGGGCAGCAAGGCAAUUAUUUAAAAAAAAUACAGGACUUAAAAAAUCAGUAGACUUUCCCAAAAUAUUGACUCAGGACCAUUCAGACAGAGCCCCAGCAUAUAGAACUGUCAUUUCCGAAUGCAGCAGACACUGUAGAGGAUGGUGACCCUCUGCGCCGUAAAAAUGAUUAAGGGGACAAGUGGCAAUAACAGGCAAUUUACAUUAUACUGUACAAGAAACCAAACCGCUAAACACAGGUAUACUACAUGUAGACCUGAUGUAAGAAAGUUGAAAACCUGUCAGUUGGUAAAAUAUGUACCAUUAUCAUAUAGAUUGCAAUCUUUAUCAAUGUUAUUUUAGCCUAUCAAUGCUUUUGGUCAAUGAAUUGGCCUGAUGUUAUUUCUCUAUCGUCAACAAGUAAAAUUAGUUAAGCCCUGUACAUUUAAUCACUUAGAUGACAUCCUCAUCAAUUUUGUCCCUUUCCAAAAAAAGUCCCAGUUUAUGAGCUACAAGUAAGUGCCAUAAAAGGCAAAAAAAUAUACUGGAAAAUGAAUGCUAAAUGUAUUUAAUGUCAAAGUCAAUUCAUGUCAUCCAUGUAAUCAAAUCACCAUGGCUUUACUUUAAUGGUCUGUUGUGGACUAUCCACUGUCAGAUAUAGUUAACACUUUGAAUUUGUACUUUUAUGACUAAGUUAAGGUGCAGUACAUUUCACAUUGCUUUGUUCAGGACAACGUUGGUUGUCAAUGGUGAAGCAACUUUGCGAGGGUAAUUCUAUUUUUUUCUAUUUGGAAUCAACGUGUGUAAUAAAAGUGAUGGUUUUAAAGCAC